This 497-nucleotide ribosomal RNA is filed under the name uncultured bacterium. Its description in RNAcentral is "partial 16S ribosomal RNA". It matches the Rfam family "Bacterial small subunit ribosomal RNA", at positions 28 to 507 of the family's 1533-position model. The record is from RNAcentral.
GAUGAACGCUGGCGGCGUGCCUAAUACAUGCAAGUCGAGCGAACAGACGAGGAGCUUGCUCCUCUGACGUUAGCGGCGGACGGGUGAGUAACACGUGGAUAACCUACCUAUAAGACUGGGAUAACUUCGGGAAACCGGAGCUAAUACCGGAUAAUAUAUUGAACCGCAUGGUUCAAUAGUGAAAGACGGUUUUGCUGUCACUUAUAGAUGGAUCCGCGCCGCAUUAGCUAGUUGGUAAGGUAACGGCUUACCAAGGCAACGAUGCGUAGCCGACCUGAGAGGGUGAUAGGCCACACUGGAACUGGGACACGGUCCAGACUCCUACGGGAGGCAGCAGUAGGGAAUCUUCCGCAAUGGGCGAAAGCCUGACGGAGCAACGCCGCGUGAGUGAUGAAGGUCUUCGGAUCGUAAAACUCUGUUAUUAGGGAAGAACAAAUGUGUAAGUAACUAUGCACGUCUUGACGGUACCUAAUCAGAAAGCCACGGCUAACUACGUG